UACGUAGGGUGCAAGCGUUGUCCGGAAUUAUUGGGCGUAAAGAGCUCGUAGGCGGUUUGUCGCGUCUGCUGUGAAAACCCGAGGCUCAACCUCAGGCCUGCAGUGGGUACGGGCAGACUAGAGUGCGGUAGGGGAGAUUGGAAUUCCUGGUGUAGCGGUGGAAUGCGCAGAUAUCAGGAGGAACACCAAUGGCGAAGGCAGAUCUCUGGGCCGUAACUGACGCUGAGACGCGAAAGCGUGGGGAGCAAACAGG
This 253-nucleotide ribosomal RNA is filed under the name uncultured bacterium. RNAcentral's name for it is "partial 16S ribosomal RNA". It matches the Rfam family "Bacterial small subunit ribosomal RNA", at positions 524 to 776 of the family's 1533-position model. The record is from RNAcentral.